Molecule: non-coding RNA, 252 nt
Organism: Vicia faba (fava bean)
Lineage: Eukaryota; Viridiplantae; Streptophyta; Magnoliopsida; Fabales; Fabaceae
Source: the annotation of a GenBank genome assembly
AUGACAAUAUUAGAAGCUUUUUCAGGAAUUGUGGCACGAGAUGGAAUUGCUGGUUUGUAUAGGGGAUUUGUGCCCAAUGCUCUGAAAACCCUACCAAACAGCAGCAUCAAGCUUACCUCAUAUGACACUGUCAAGCGUAUAAUUGCCGCUAGUGAGAAAGAAUUUCAAACAAUUACAGAGGAAAAUCGCAACAAAACAAAACAACAACAUCAACAAUCAAUGAAAGUGAACUUCAAAUUCAUCUUAUUUUAG